This 460-nucleotide ribosomal RNA is filed under the name uncultured bacterium. RNAcentral describes it as "partial 16S ribosomal RNA". It matches the Rfam family "Bacterial small subunit ribosomal RNA", at positions 338 to 795 of the family's 1533-position model. The record is from RNAcentral.
CCUACGGGAGGCUGCAGUGAGGAAUAUUGGUCAAUGGGCGCGAGCCUGAACCAGCCAAGUAGCGUGAAGGAUGACUGCCCUACGGGUUGUAAACUUCUUUUAUAAAGGAAUAGAGUGAGGCACGUGUGCCUUUUUGUAUGUACUUUAUGCAUAAGGAUCGGCUAACUCCGUGCCAGCAGCCGCGGUAAUACGGAGGAUCUGAGCGUUAUCCGGAUUGAAUGGGUGUAAAGGGGGUGUAGAUGGGUUGGUAAGGCAGUUGUGAAAGUUUGCGGCUCAACCGUAAAAUUGCAAUUGAUACUGGCAGCCAUGAGUGCAGGUGAGGGAGGCGGAAUUCGUGGUGUAGCGGUGAAAUGCUUAGAUAUCACGAAGAACUCCGAUUGCGAAGGCAGCCUACUAAACUGCCACUGACAUUGAGGCUCGAAAGUGUGGGUAGCAAACAGGAUUAGAUACCCUUGUAGUC